UACGUAGGGUGCAAGCGUUGUCCGGAAUUAUUGGGCGUAAAGAGCUCGUAGGCGGUUCGUCGCGUCGGCUGUGAAAACCUGAGGCUCAACCUCAGGCCUGCAGUCGAUACGGGCGGACUUGAGUACUGCAGGGGAGACUGGAAUUCCUGGUGUAGCGGUGAAAUGCGCAGAUAUCAGGAGGAACACCGGUGGCGAAGGCGGAUCUCUGGGCCAUUACUGACGCUGAGGAGCGAAAGCGUGGGGAGCGAACAGG
This 253-nucleotide ribosomal RNA is filed under the name uncultured bacterium. Its description in RNAcentral is "partial 16S ribosomal RNA". It matches the Rfam family "Bacterial small subunit ribosomal RNA", at positions 524 to 776 of the family's 1533-position model. The record is from RNAcentral.